This 339-nucleotide RNase P RNA is filed under the name Eubacterium sp. Its description in RNAcentral is "RNase P RNA component class A". It matches the Rfam family "Bacterial RNase P class A". From Rfam's summary of the family: Ribonuclease P (RNase P) is a ubiquitous endoribonuclease, found in archaea, bacteria and eukarya as well as chloroplasts and mitochondria. The record is from RNAcentral. Lineage: Bacteria; Bacillati; Bacillota; Clostridia; Eubacteriales; Eubacteriaceae.
CCAGUUUAUUAUAUGGUCGCAUGGAAACAUGAGGAAAGUCCGAGCAUCACAGAGCAGGAUAGCUGCUAACGGCAGCCGGAGGCGACUCUAGGGCAGAGUGCAACAGAGAUAUACCGCCCGGAUUUAUCCGGGUAAGGGUGGAAAGGCGAGGUAAGAGCUCACCGGCGGACGGGAGACCGUCCGGCCAUGUAAACCCUAUCCGAUGCAACACCGGUUGGUGCGGGAAAUACACGCUUGCUCGGCGUCUCCCGUUGAAAGGUGGCUUGAUCGUAUUGGCGACAAUACGGCUAGAUAGAUGACCAUACACGACAGAACUCGGCUUAACGAUAAACUGGCAUA